RNAcentral lists this ribosomal RNA (448 nucleotides) under Geminigera cryophila. RNAcentral describes it as "partial 28S ribosomal RNA". It matches the Rfam family "Eukaryotic large subunit ribosomal RNA", at positions 348 to 675 of the family's 3401-position model. The record is from RNAcentral. Lineage: Eukaryota; Cryptophyceae; Pyrenomonadales; Geminigeraceae.
GUACCGUGAGGGAAAGAUGCAAAGAACUUUGAAAAGAGAGUGAAAUAGUGCUUGAAACCGUUGGGAGGAAAGCGAAUGGAGUUGCUAUACGACCAGGGUGUCUCAAUCUGGCACGCAAGUUGGUUCCGGUGUAGUGACCCUGUGUCUACGUUCGUGGAGUGGUACCUGUCCUGGCGCGUGACUAUUCUAUCAGCAAUGAUAAAAUGAGUGCUGACCAGACGACGGUGGUCUCAAAGAAUUUAUACCGAAAAAAAAGAUGAAAAAUCCCAAAAUUCUACAUUUUGAUCAAAAUAUCUUUACUUUGUAAAUACCGCAAGGCAGUUGCAAAAAAAGAUGGAAUUGGACAAAAUAAUGAUAUGACGUGAUUAAUUAUCAAAUAUUUUUUUCGGAUGAUAAUACGGACGGAAGGGCUUCAUUCGACCCGUCUUGAAACACGGACCAAGGAGUC